RNAcentral lists this transfer RNA (75 nucleotides) under Moraxella sp. RNAcentral's name for it is "tRNA-Met". It matches the Rfam family "tRNA". From Rfam's summary of the family: Transfer RNA (tRNA) molecules are approximately 80 nucleotides in length. Their secondary structure includes four short double-helical elements and three loops (D, anti-codon, and T loops). Further hydrogen bonds mediate the characteristic L-shaped molecular structure. tRNAs have two regions of fundamental functional importance: the anti-codon, which is responsible for specific mRNA codon recognition, and the 3' end, to which the tRNAs corresponding amino acid is attached (by aminoacyl-tRNA synthetases). tRNAs cope with the degeneracy of the genetic code in two manners: having more than one tRNA (with a specific anti-codon) for a particular amino acid; and 'wobble' base-pairing, i.e. permitting non-standard base-pairing at the 3rd anti-codon position. Lineage: Bacteria; Pseudomonadati; Pseudomonadota; Gammaproteobacteria; Moraxellales; Moraxellaceae. The record is from RNAcentral.
AGCGGGGUGGAGCAGUGGUAGCUCGCUUGGUUCAUAACCAUAAGGUCGGCGGUUCAAGUCCGCCCCCUGCUACCA